UGAACUUGACACCACUGCUUCAUGGUUAUCAGUUUCUAUGGGUGUUUCAGGAAUUGCUUCCAGCUGUGCACUCAACGCCUCACUCUCGGUAUUUCGUUGUUUACGAGUCCGCUUCCUCACAUUGGCAUCAUUUACUGUGCUAGAGGCGACUGGCGUGCUCAGAUCACCACCUCUACUCUUGUUACUGCUGCUGGAGCUUGUUCGGUUUGUUGGCUUUAAUGACGUUGGAUAAAACAAUGAUUUCAAAAGUGAGUGGUACUGCCAAUCGGAAGUACUCGGCACGCGUUUCGAUCGACGUAAGCCUGUAUAGUGCAAACCAAAAUUUAUUUUUAUGUAAAUUAUAUCAAAUAUAUAGUUGCUAGGAAAUUAUUUAGAGUGUAUUAAAAUAAAAGUGCCACUUACCUUCGGUGUCAUCUGUGCGCUCAGUUUGAUUCA
Long non-coding RNA from Bactrocera dorsalis (oriental fruit fly), 435 nucleotides. RefSeq lists it as uncharacterized. The record is from RefSeq and is a predicted model, not a curated record. The transcript is spliced from 2 exons. Lineage: Eukaryota; Metazoa; Arthropoda; Insecta; Diptera; Tephritidae.